UCCUCUGAUCAGUGGCGAACGGGUGAGUAACACGUGAGCAACCUGCCCCAGACUCUGGGAUAACAGUUGGAAACAGCUGCUAAUACCGGAUACGAGACGGAGAGGCAUCUCUACCGUCUGGAAAGUUUUUCGGUCUGGGAUGGACUCGCGGCCUAUCAGCUAGUUGGUGAGGUAAUGGCUCACCAAGGCGACGACGGGUAGCCGGCCUGAGAGGGCGACCGGCCACACUGGGACUGAGACACGGCCCAGACUCCUACGGGAGGCAGCAGUGGGGAAUAUUGCACAAUGGGCGAAAGCCUGAUGCAGCGACGCCGCGUGAGGGAUGACGGCCUUCGGGUUGUAAACCUCUUUCAGCAGGGAAGAAGCGAAAGUGACGGUACCUGCAGAAGAAGCACCGGCUAACUACGUGCCAGCAGCCGCGGUAAUACGUAGGGUGCGAGCGUUGUCCGGAAUUAUUGGGCGUAAAGAGCUUGUAGGCGGUUUGUCGCGUCUGCAGUGAAAAUCCGAGGCUCAACCUCGGACUUGCUGUGGGUACGGGCAGACUAGAGUAUGGUAGGGGAGACCGGAAUUCCUGGUGUAGCGGUGGAAUGCGCAGAUAUCAGGAGGAACACCGAUGGCGAAGGCAGGUCUCUGGGCCAUAACUGACGCUGAGAAGCGAAAGCAUGGGGAGCGAACAGGAUUAGAUACCCUGGUAGUCCAUGCCGUAAACGUUGGGCGCUAGGUGUGGGGCUCAUUCCACGAGCUCCGUGCCGCAGCUAACGCAUUAAGCGCCCCGCCUGGGGAGUACGGCCGCAAGGC
RNAcentral lists this ribosomal RNA (798 nucleotides) under uncultured bacterium. Its description in RNAcentral is "bacterial SSU rRNA". It matches the Rfam family "Bacterial small subunit ribosomal RNA", at positions 84 to 894 of the family's 1533-position model. The record is from RNAcentral.